UACAGAGGUCUCAAGCGUUGUUCGGAUUCAUUGGGCGUAAAGGGUGUGUAGGUGGCGCCGUAAGUCGGGUGUGAAAUUUCGGAGCUUAACUCCGAAACUGCAUUCGAUACUGCGGUGCUUGAGGACUGGAGAGGAGACUGGAAUUCCAUGUGUAGCGGUGAAAUGCGUAGAGAUAUGGAGGAACACCAGUGGCGAAGGCGACUUUCUGGUCUGUAACUGACACUGAGGCGCGAAAGCGUGGGGAGCAAACAGG
This 253-nucleotide ribosomal RNA is filed under the name uncultured bacterium. RNAcentral's name for it is "partial 16S ribosomal RNA". It matches the Rfam family "Bacterial small subunit ribosomal RNA", at positions 524 to 776 of the family's 1533-position model. The record is from RNAcentral.